CGCUCGGCCCCGGCCAGACUUACAGCCAGUUGCUCGCGGCGGCUGAGAAGACGGCGAAGACGAGGAGGCGCAGCGAACGCAGAUAAAGAAUCCGAGGCGCAGAGAGGUGGCACUGCUGGAAGGAACAGAGCCAGAUCCACAAGAUCCUUCAUUCCGACAAUAAAUAUUCACUGAAGAUCUGCCACAUGUCAGGCCCCAGCCCAGGUGCUGGGGAUUUAGCAGAAAACCAGCCAGACCCAUUUCCUGCAUCCAUGGAGUGCACAGGCUGGUGGGGGAGAUGGGCUAGAAAUCCAUGAACCAAAUUAUACUGAGACGAGCGAGCACCGAGCGCCUAGCGUGGACUGCGACCGCUCGGGCUCCUGUAUCUGUGACAGAUGUGCUUGGGCUCCUCGUAGGACCGAGGGACUUUGUUAUCCACACCACUGGCCUUGAAGUUGGCUGCUACCUGAUGAGAUGAAUUAAGAACAUACCAGCACUUUGGGAGGCUGAAGUGGGUGGAUCACGAGAUCAGGAAAUUGAGGUCCAGUGAGGUGUCUUGGCCAGGACACUCAGUCAGGACGUGACAUGAACACAGGACUGUCUGACUUCAAAUCCAGUGCUCCUUCCCCUGCAGUCCCCACCCCACUGACUGGGGGACAGUGCUCCAGGCAGCUGGAAUGGGACACGGUUUGUGUGGCAGCGAGAUAUCCAGGCUCUCCUCCUUCCAGAUCUAAGGCAUGCGGUGUGAACAGGAGCAAUCCCUUCACAGUGUGGAGCCACCGGCUUUGGAGUUGUUUGUGGCUGCAGUGUGUAACCCAGCAUCUCCUGACUGAUGUUAUAGGUUCUGCCGGAGGGGCAAAUGCGGGCAGCAAGGGCUUGCAGCCCUGGAAUUAACAAAUGAGUACUAAUGAGCCCUCCCUUCCUCCCUCCCUCCCUUUCUCCUUUCCUUCCUUCUUUUCCAAAAUAUAUUUAUCCAUCUAUUUAUU
Molecule: long non-coding RNA, 965 nt
Filed under: Homo sapiens (human)
Lineage: Eukaryota; Metazoa; Chordata; Mammalia; Primates; Hominidae
Description: HSALNT0290720
Source: RNAcentral